Oncorhynchus keta (chum salmon) is the source of this 1062-nucleotide long non-coding RNA. RefSeq lists it as uncharacterized. The transcript is spliced from 2 exons. Lineage: Eukaryota; Metazoa; Chordata; Actinopteri; Salmoniformes; Salmonidae. The record is from RefSeq and is a predicted model, not a curated record.
GAUCUGGGGACACUGAUCCCAGGUCAGAUUACACAUUUUACCACCUCAUGGAUGGGGUUAGGAUCUGGGGAGGGCAAGCUGAUCCCAGGUCAGAUUACACAUUUUACCACCUAAUGGGUUAGGAUCUGUGGAGGGCAAGCUGAUCCCAGGUCAGAUUACACAUUUUACCACCUAAUGGGUUAGGAUCUGUGGAGGGCAAGCUGAUCCCAGGUCAGAUUACACAUUUUACCACCUAAUGGGUUAGGAUCUGUGGAGGGCAAGCUGAUCCCAGGUCAGAUUACACAUUUUACCACCUAACGGGUUAGAAUCUGGGGAGGGCAAGCUGAUCCCAGGUCAGAUUGUUGGUAUAUACAGCCAGACUAUUCGACUGUCGUCCCAGAGCUCCUGGUUGUCAUCCUGUCCCCUACACCCUAACCCCUACACCCUAACCCCUACACCCUAACCCCUACACCCUAACUAACCCCUACAUCCCUCUGACCAGGGACUGAUUCAGACCUGGGACACCAGGUAACUAGACUGUCUUGGCCAAUCACUGACAUUAAUCAAUUAAUCAAUUAACUACUAUCUAGGGAGACGAGACACCCAGCAGAGUUAAAGACCCGGGGACAUGGAGCUGGACAGUCUCCACAUUACAGCCUGAUACAGAGGGUCCCAAUAGUAUCCCCUUUCUCCUGAAGUGUACACUCGUUCACUACAAAUCUAAAACCAUUGGUUUGGUUAGAGGCUUUUUGUUGUUUUGUUAUACCAGUAAUUUCCUUUGAACUCAAUGAAGGGAAGUGAAGAAAGUGCCCACUUUCUGGAGGACAGACAGACAGACAGACAGACAGACAGACAGACAGACAGACAGACAGACAGACAGACAGACAGACAGAAUAGGGACCUCUAGAGUUUCUGGUGAAUAAGAUAUAGAGUAAUAUAUUUAAUUCCCUUUUCGCUGCACUGAAAAGUUACUGUAUAAUUACGUCUCCGUCAUCUUGAAUAUGCUAAUGAGUAACCAGGAAGUAGCAAUGGUGGCCACGCCCACUCCUCUCUUUCUCUCUCUCUCUCUCUCUCUCUCUCUCU